AUUUGAUUAAAAAUGGCAGAUGUUCAAUGUUUUCAGGUUUCCCUCUAAUAACGUUGGAACUAUUUUUUAUGACAUUCAAUAUAGAUUAUGCCAUUAAAGAUGUUUUGAUGACAUAUAUUUUAAUCCCUUUUAAUUAUUCCAAAAUAAAAAAUAUUUUUAUUGAAAAUAGGCAAUUAGUUUUUUCAGAAUUACAAUACUUAUUAUUUUGGCUUCAGUUCAAUCAUAUUCAAGGAUAUUGUAUACUUAAAAUUAUUAGUCCUUCCCGUUAAAUUGUACCAGAAGUUAAAUUUAUUGAACCCUAUAUAUUCUACCUUGUUAAGAUUCAGAUUUUGAAAAGAAUCUGAUAGACCCAUAUAUCAGUUUAGGUUGAAUGGAUGGCUAGCCAUUUCUUAUUUCUUGACAUUUUUAGCUACUUUUUGAAAGAAAAUGAAGCUUAUGAGAACCAUCAUGUUGUUUGGAUAUCUAUAUGUCCCCACAAAUAACUUUUUAAUUAAUAUAUUUUCAAGAAGUAUGGUAAUUAUGUUCUCUCAUUACAGAUAGCAUCAGGGCAACAGAAUUUAACCUUCAAAUUUUAGCUAUUUAAAAAUAGCAGGCAUCCAAAAUUCUGAGAUAAUCCUGAACUAUUGAAUUUUUAUGAAAUUUAACAGAAUUGGUCAAGUCAUUGCAGAUGAUCUCAAUAACCUGAAUUAAGUGUCUUUUAUCUUCAAUCAUUUAAAAAUAGC
Molecule: long non-coding RNA, 722 nt
Filed under: Androctonus crassicauda
Lineage: Eukaryota; Metazoa; Arthropoda; Arachnida; Scorpiones; Buthidae
Source: RNAcentral